UUGUGGUCUAGGACUCUGCUUUGGGUCUACUGGAGCCUGGGGAGUGUUACUGUUAUUAUUGUAGUUAGUAAACAAUUACUGAAUGCUUGCUAUGUGCUUAGCAGUAUCAUAAGCCCUUUAACAAUGAUUUUUUAAGACUUAUUCUAUAGGCUCUUUAGCAGAAUCCUUUUAAUUGCUUAAUUAGAUUCUAUUAUUAUUAUUUCUAUUUUACAGGGGAGAAAACUAAGAUGUCAGAGGUAAAUCAUUUGCUCACUGUUACCCAGUCAACGCUGGCAAGUCUGAUCUCCAAGCCCACUAUUUUUAUCACUAAAUCCAAACGGACAACACUAUGCAGAUCCCGACCUUAUCCCCGCCUCUAAUAACCAAAGCCGCUUCAGUGCAUGCUCAUGGAACCUGCUUCCCUCUGCUUACUUUUCCUAGUCAAAUGGAGAAGAGUGCAAGAGAUCUGUCAAUGCAGUAGAGACCCAAACAAUCCAACUGAGGGCCUGGAUCCCAUGGCAAUGUCCUGCAUGAGUCCAGCUGAAGACCUAGAGCCCAUGGCGACGUGCUCUACAAGUCCAACUGGAGGUCAGAAUCCAUGACAAUGUCCUAUGCAAGUCUGUAUCAAGGAUCUGCACUGGAAGGGCCCAAAGGUCAGUGGUGGAAUCUAGAAAGUCUGUGCCAGUGGGAUGAAGAAUCUGUGUCACAGGCUGAGGGAUCUGCACUAGAGCCAGGAAAUGAUGGUUAAAGUGUUAUAGCAAAAAUUUGGGCUGUAUUUCGCAAGAGACCAAAGAGAACAGACAAAGUUUUAAUUUAGACCUGUCACCUCUCAUCCCGACUUGCAAGUCCGGGAAGUGGGUGUGGACCUGUCUUUGUUCCCAGGUUAUAUACAUUUUUGGUUUCCAUGGUAACAGAAAGGAAUGUUGUAGCCCUGGCCACAUGUUGUUUUCCUUGUGCCAUGUAACCGGGUCAGGCUCCGGUCAUGAGCCCAACCACAAUGAUAUAUACUUUCUGUACUCUGUUCUAUAUGUCCCCCUUUAGAUAACCAUACAUUUGCUUUAUGGUUACAAUGUUUAUCUAGGGCCAUGGAAGGGAUGAAACAACCCAGGCAGGGUCAUAGGUGGUUAUCUGGGCCCUGGUCUUUGGAGAAGCAUUCCAGGGCUAAGUCAGGACUGCAAAGUUAACUCUUUACAACCCCUCCGGGAUGUUUCUCAAGACACAUUUUGAGGCUUGCAUGAAGACUAGAAUUAUUCUAUCUUAAAAUGAUAUGCUAAGAGUCAUUGUCCCCUACAAAAGUAAGGACCCGGGCUUCCCCAAGGAGGACCACAGCCAUCCUCACUGCCAGCGAGGACCCAGGCUCCUUGGAUGAUGAGAACAGCCAAGUUCAUAUCGGGAAAGCCAGCACAACAAGACUCUCCAGGAGAACCAACAGCACACCGUGCUCCCCUCUAGUUCCCUCUUUAUGCUGCUGGCAACAGUCCUCAGGUGGGCCUUCCACACGCGACGCCAUGCUGAUUCGGUUCAGCUGUGUGUUACAAGUUGCCCGUUAGUUAAUCCACCACGCUAGGCUACUGGGAUUAGGGCCAAACCAAUUGGUGGACUGAUUUAGUAAUCACACAUCCUCAUUCCCAGCAUUGCGCCAUGAAUCAAUUGCACACUCUAGAGCCAGUCACCUCUGGAAAAUCCCCACCUAUUACUGCAAGAGCCUUUGGGGUGCCAUCUAGACAUAAGCCAUAUGGAUCCUGGAAUCCAAACUCUGCAAAAACCCAGUCACCCCCAGAAAGGCUCAUAGCUGUGUGAAAUGUUUUGGCAAAGUGAAGUCCAGAGUGGGUGGGAUUCUCUCUGAACUUAGUAUCAUUCUGCCCUGAGAAAUGAGCAGCCCUCAAUAGGUGACCCGGGACUGGAAGACUUAGGC
Long non-coding RNA from Chinchilla lanigera (long-tailed chinchilla), 1894 nucleotides. The record is from Ensembl. Lineage: Eukaryota; Metazoa; Chordata; Mammalia; Rodentia; Chinchillidae.